CCUACGGGCGGCAGCAGUGGGGAAUAUUGCGCAAUGCGGGUAACCCUGAUGCAGCGACGCCGCGUGAGUGAAGAAGUAUUUCGGUACGUAAAGCUCUAUCAGCAGGGAAGAAAAUGACGAUACCUGACUAAGAAUCCCCUGCUAACUACGUGCCAGCAGCCGCGGUAAUACGUAGGGGGCAAGCGUUAUCCGGAUUUACUGGGUGUAAAGUGGGCGUAGACGGCAGUGCAAGUCAGGAGUGAAAUCCUAUGGCUUAACCAUGGUACGGCUAUGGAAACUGUGCAGCUAGAGUGCAGGAGAGGUAAGCGGAAUUCCUAGUGUAGCGGUGAAAUGCGUAGAUAUUAGGAGGAACACCAGUGGCGAAGGCGGCUUACUGGACUGUAACUGACGUUGAGGCGCGAAAGCGUGGGGAGCAAACAGGAUUAGAUACCCUGGUAGUC
Molecule: ribosomal RNA, 440 nt
Filed under: uncultured bacterium
Lineage: Bacteria
Description: partial 16S ribosomal RNA
Rfam family: Bacterial small subunit ribosomal RNA
Source: RNAcentral